UACGGGAGGCAGCAGUGGGGAAUAUUGGACAAUGGGCGGAAGCCUGAUCCAGCCAUGCCGCGUGUGUGAAGAAGGCCUUUUGGUUGUAAAGCACUUUUAAGCGAGGAGGAGGCUACUAGUAUUAAUACUACUGGAUAGUGGACGUUACUCGCAGAAUAAGCACCGGCUAACUCUGUGCCAGCAGCCGCGGUAAUACAGAGGGUGCGAGCGUUAAUCGGAUUUACUGGGCGUAAAGCGUGCGUAGGCGGCUUUUUUAAGUCGGAUGUGAAAUCCCCGAGCUUAACUUGGGAAUUGCAUUCGAUACUGGGAAGCUAGAGUAUGGGAGAGGAUGGUAGAAUUCCAGGUGUAGCGGUGAAAUGCGUAGAGAUCUGGAGGAAUACCGGAUGGCGAAGGGCAGCCAUCGUGGCCUAAUACGUGACGCUGGAGGUACGAAAGCAGU
This 439-nucleotide ribosomal RNA is filed under the name uncultured bacterium. RNAcentral describes it as "bacterial SSU rRNA". It matches the Rfam family "Bacterial small subunit ribosomal RNA", at positions 340 to 763 of the family's 1533-position model. The record is from RNAcentral.